CCUACGGGAGGCAGCAGUGAGGAAUAUUGGUCAAUGGGCGAGAGCCUGAACCAGCCAAGUCGCGUGAGGGAGUACUGCCCUAUGGGUUGUAAACCUCUUUUGUCGGGGAGCAAAAGCCGGACGUGUCCGGCUGUGAGAGUACCCGAAGAAAAAGCAUCGGCUAACUCCGUGCCAGCAGCCGCGGUAAUACGGAGGAUGCGAGCGUUAUCCGGAUUUAUUGGGUUUAAAGGGUGCGCAGGCGGAUUUUAAAGGCAGCGGUAAAAUCGUGGGGCUCACACCACUCCAGCCGUUGAAACUGGGGAUCUAGAGUGUGCGAGAGGUAUGCGGAAGGCGUGGUGUAGCGGUGAAAUGCAUAGAUAUCACGCAGAACCCCGAUUGCGAAGGCAGCAUACCGGUGCACAACUGACGCUCAGGCACGGAAGCGUGGGUAUCGAACAGGAUUAGAUACCCGUGUAGUC
RNAcentral lists this ribosomal RNA (458 nucleotides) under uncultured bacterium. RNAcentral's name for it is "partial 16S ribosomal RNA". It matches the Rfam family "Bacterial small subunit ribosomal RNA", at positions 338 to 795 of the family's 1533-position model. The record is from RNAcentral.